RNAcentral lists this ribosomal RNA (253 nucleotides) under uncultured bacterium. RNAcentral describes it as "partial 16S ribosomal RNA". It matches the Rfam family "Bacterial small subunit ribosomal RNA", at positions 524 to 776 of the family's 1533-position model. The record is from RNAcentral.
UACGUAGGGUGCGAGCGUUAAUCGGAAUUACUGGGCGUAAAGCGUGCGCAGGCGGUUCGUUGUGUCGGUGGUGAAAUCCCCGGGCUCAACCUGGGAACUGCAUUUGUGACUGCAAGGCUGGAGUACGGUAGAGGGGGAUGGAAUUCCGCGUGUAGCAGUGAAAUGCGUAGAGAUGUGGAGGAACACCAGUGGCGAAGGCGACUCUUUGGCCUGUAACUGACACUGAGGCGCGAAAGCGUGGGGAGCAAACAGG